GACAGAGGGUGCAAACGUUGUUCGGAAUUACUGGGCGUAAAGCGCGUGUAGGCGGCUCGGAAAGUCAGAUGUGAAAGCCCAGGGCUCAACCCUGGAAGUGCACUCGAAACUCCCGAGCUGGAGUCCCGGAGAGGAAGGCGGAAUUCUCGGUGUAGAGGUGAAAUUCGUAGAUAUCGAGAGGAACACCUGUGGCGAAGGCGGCCUUCUGGACGGUGACUGACGCUGAGACGCGAAAGCGUGGGGAGCAAACAGG
Molecule: ribosomal RNA, 253 nt
Filed under: uncultured bacterium
Lineage: Bacteria
Description: partial 16S ribosomal RNA
Rfam family: Bacterial small subunit ribosomal RNA
Source: RNAcentral